GACGAACGCUGGCGGCGUGCUUAACACAUGCAAGUCGAGCGGAAAGGCCCUUCGGGGUACUCGAGCGGCGAACGGGUGAGUAACACGUGAGUAAUCUGCCUCUAGCUCUGGGAUAGCUCCGGGAAACCGGGAUUAAUACCGGAUACGACCACUCAAGACAUCUUCUGUGGUGGAAAGAAUUUCGGCUAGAGAUGAGCUCGCGGCCUACCAGCUUGUUGGUGGGGUAACGGCCUACCAAGGCGACGACGGGUAGCCGGCCUGAGAGGGCGACCGGCCACACUGGGACUGAGACACGGCCCAGACUCCUACGGGAGGCAGCAGUGGGGAAUAUUGCGCAAUGGGCGAAAGCCUGACGCAGCGACGCCGCGUGGGGAUGAAGGCCUUCGGUUGUAACCCUU
Molecule: ribosomal RNA, 398 nt
Filed under: uncultured bacterium
Lineage: Bacteria
Description: bacterial SSU rRNA
Rfam family: Bacterial small subunit ribosomal RNA
Source: RNAcentral